GAUGAACGCUGGCGGCGUGCUUAACACAUGCAAGUCGAACGGAAAGGCCCAAGCUUGCUUGGGUACUCGAGUGGCGAACGGGUGAGUAACACGUGGGUGAUCUGCCCCGCACUUCGGGAUAAGCCUGGGAAACUGGGUCUAAUACCGGAUAGGACCACUUCUUGGAGGUUGUGGUGGAAAGUUUUUUCGGUGUGGGAUGAGCUCGCGGCCUAUCAGCUUGUUGGUGGGGUAAUGGCCUACCAAGGCGUCGACGGGUAGCCGGCCUGAGAGGGUGUACGGCCACAUUGGGACUGAGAUACGGCCCAGACUCCUACGGGAGGCAGCAGUGGGGAAUAUUGCACAAUGGGCGCAAGCCUGAUGCAGCGACGCCGCGUGGGGGAUGACGGCCUUCGGGUUGUAAACUCCUUUCGCUAGGGACGAAGCGCAAGUGACGGUACCUAGAGAAGAAGCACCGGCUAACUACGUGC
RNAcentral lists this ribosomal RNA (467 nucleotides) under uncultured bacterium. RNAcentral's name for it is "partial 16S ribosomal RNA". It matches the Rfam family "Bacterial small subunit ribosomal RNA", at positions 28 to 508 of the family's 1533-position model. The record is from RNAcentral.